This is a long non-coding RNA of Mesocricetus auratus (golden hamster), 1591 nucleotides long. RefSeq lists it as uncharacterized. The transcript has 3 exons. NCBI's taxonomy places the organism in Eukaryota, Metazoa, Chordata, Mammalia, Rodentia, Cricetidae. The record is from RefSeq and is a predicted model, not a curated record.
UUGUUUCUGUGCAGUCUCUCUAAGCACUGCAUUUGGUGGACUUAGGGAAGACUAAGCCAGGGUGGGCUGGAUGUUGACACGGCCCAGCUGCUAGGUCAGGAAAAGCAAUUUUAUCCAUUGAGGGGGAAAUGUCUAUUGUCUCCACAUUCAUACACAUUUGAACCUUAGCAUGCCCCAAACUUUUUUCCUCCAGAGUCUGUCCUUCCUCUGGUGUCUCUUCUUGAACCCUGGCACCAUCCUCCUCCUUGUUGUUCAAGUAAAUGAGAGGAUCCAGAAGUCAUGCUUGGAUUCCCCUCUCCCCCAUCCCCACCUGCAUCAGCAGACCUCAUCAGUUUCAUUCCACAGGACCACAGCAUCUCCGGAAUCUUCCGCCCUCCACCCUCCAUCUGCUUCUUCAGCACCCACCACAGCAUCCCUGAAAAAAUCUACAGGAAUUUAUGGCUGUCUCCACUCCGCCUCACCUUGCAACAGAAUUCAUUGCUUUGAGACUGUCUCUCGUGUAGCCUGAGCUGGCCUCAAAUCCCCUGUGUAGCAGAGAAGGAUCAGGAGGUCUCUGCCACCUGAGUGAUGAUGAGAUUACAGGCCUGGUGGCAGACUUGCCGUGCUAUCAAUGGAACCCAGGACUUUGUGCACGCUGGGCAAGCAUUCUUCCAACUGAGCAGUAGCACUACCCAACUCAUUUUCUUUUUUUGAGACAAGGUUUCUAAGUGUAGCCCUGACUGUCCUGGAACUCACACUGUAGACCAGGCUGGCUUAAACUCAAAGAGGUCUGCCUGCCUCUGCCUCCUGAGUGCUGUAAUUACAUUUUUUUUAAAUAGCACUUAUGUUAGGCUUCUUGUUAUAAAGUCCUUAAUUUCUUCAUCUUGCCCUUUAAAGUCUGCUUUAAGACCCCCUAUAGGUUUCCUGGGCCAGUCUCGGUAUGCCCCGCCCACCGUACUGAUCUACAGCUGCUGUCUUCCUCAUGGUCACUGCUUUUGGGAUCUCCCGGCCUUUCUCACAUUCACAUGUUUUCCCGGCCCUUCGAAUGUGCAAUUCUCUCUUCUUGGUAUUGGGGCUCCCAAAUGUCGUCAUGAAGUAUGGCAACCUGGGCAGUUUGAACCAGAGAGGGUUGGAAGACUGAGAAGUCUAAAACCUUCCAAGGACGUGCUCUGAGCAGUGCCCUUCUACCUUGAAGGUCUGUAGGUGGCAAGAGUCUGCCCACACCUGUGGAUGAGCAUAGAAACACAGUUUGGAAUGGAAAAACAAGGUGAUGUGCAGCAGAGGCCAAAGAAGGUGGAUAAGGAACUGUCCCAGCUCUGGAACUCUCCCCUGAGCCCUUCAAGUGGACCAGUCCAAGGCCCCCAGCUGAGAGGGGCCUGGCAAGAAGGAAAGGGCGAGGAAGAGCUCCGGGGUGAGAACUACCUGAGCUUCUGUCAGACAUCCUGAGCAAGCGCAAAGAUUCUGUUAACCUUGGGACUUUGAAUGCUGUCUCAGUUUCCUUACUUGUAAAAUGGAGAUCAGGUCUCUUAUUUCUCAGGAUUAUUGUAAGGACUGAAAUAGAUGUGUAUUAAAAGAUUAUGAACAGUGAAAUAAAGAUCAUGCGACCACAGCA